UUGCAGCAACAUUUAUUCAACCAGGAUUAUUUAAGCAUUUGAAAAUGCAAUAUGCACCCUCCACGUGGGAAGAUUUCUGGAUGAAAAUAUAAACUGCAUUGCAUCAGUGUAAACCAGAAGUAUCCUCACUGAAGGUUUAGCAUGGUGCCCAAGAGGAAUGUAGUGUUGGGGUAAUGAAGGAGCAAAGAAAACAAGUCUCCUUGAAUUUCAGUUCUCCUGAUUUACAUAGCAGUCUUCUCAACAGGGAAAACGAUUCUAUUACCUGCAACAGAACACACACCUCAUUAUGGAUGAGUGGUGCACAUUGCUUUAAUGAAGCCACAAACUACAACACAGGAAUCGUGAAGGGCUCAUCUGGGGUGCAGCUGCUUACCUGGUUGUAGAAACACACAGGGAAUGUAUACAUUUUAUCCUUUCUCCAGCUAAUAUGCAAAGAGUUGUAAGGGUAAUUAAAUUAAUGAUAUUACAUCAGUGUUUAUGUAGAAAAUAUUUAUUUAUAUGUGUUUAAAUAUAAAAUAUCAGCCCUCUUUCCAUCCAAUAACUGCCGUCAUUCCAGGAUCUACUUUCAACGUUUCUGUUUCUCUGGAGAAAACCGUACAAAAGUUAUUAAACACAGAAAGGAAUUUUGCUAAAUGUUCCUUUUCAAGAUAUCAGCAAUAUAUUAAUAUAUAUUAAGGCUCAUUUAAAAUAUAUUCCAUUGUUUUCAAGACAACACAUCUAUUAUUAACGCUGCAUUUAUCAAUUUGAAAGCAGUGCAAGUCUCAGGAGGAAAUCCGCAUGGCGCAGAUACAGCAGAUACUGUGGGUGUGUGUUGAGUGCCUGUUUGGAUAUAACAGUAACAAAGGAGUUUCUGGCUUUGUUCAUGUUGCACAGCUAUAGUACCCCUGAAACUUUCAUUUGACUUUCAAAGUGAAUCCUCUGAGUGCCCACAGCGUCUGACCCCAGGACUGACCUCCAGGACAUCCUGAGCACAAUCUGGCUGGAGGAAACCAGUGAGGAGAAGCUGCCCUUUCGGUACCUGUCAGAAGAUCCUUAGGCACACUGUGAAUCACCCUGACAUGGAGCAUGUCAAAGGCCCAGCAACCCCCAGCACAUGUCCCAUCUGAGAAAGAGAAAAGGGAGGAGCUGCACCUACAGUAUCCCAUUGUGUGGAUCUUCAUAAGGAACACCUGUAAGCCAUUCAGCAAAUCCAUGCAUUUUCAGGUUCUUCUGAUCACAGAUAAAUCUCUAGUCUUAUGUGACAGUCUCAUAUCACAAGCACAUACCUGCCUGCCAUGCAGCCCAAGUCAGCCAUCUAUUAGGAGUAAAAGACACGUAAGAGACCAUCAUCCUGCUGUGACAAAGGCAGUAGAAACAUGAUUUCUCUGUAAACAGUGCAAGCACAAUCUUCUCAUCCAGUAUCCAGGCCUCCUCCAACAGUUCACCCAUCCCCAGGGCUGAAAAACAGCCAUUCUCAGCCUGGAACCAGGUUGCAAGUAUUCAUCUGGGUCAAGCCUCAUAGCCAUUAAGGAAAAGAUGAACUGCUUUUUUUGGGCAACCACUUUCUGGGGUGGGUCCCAGAAUGCUUAGAGUCAUCUGCUGUUGCUCUUGACACACCAUCAGGUCAUGUUCCUGGAUAUACGCCCUGUAAAGUGUAUGGCAGCGUAGCCCCUCACAACAAUAUGCCUUGAUCUUUUCUUGCAUGAUGAUCCCUAGGACCUUUGCCUUUCCACUGUCUCCCAACCUCAUUUAUGAUAGCUUGUGACACAUACUAAUGCGAGUGAGACCAAUACAGAGACUGAUGAUGGGACAUUUUAGAGUAAGAUGUUAUUUCAUGGCACAGACAAGUAGAGUGGGUGAACACUAAGAGUAUCUUGCUAGACAUGCUGUGAGGACUGGUGAAAUGUCUUGAUGAGAAAACCUUAUCCAGUUGGGAUAUAUCUGAGCUACCCUAGAAAUGUCCUGGCAGCUUGGUGUGUUGACAGCAAGUAUGAAUGCAAGGUGCUCUUGCUGGAAUGGUCUUUAGAGUGGCUGAAAAGCACAGUGGAGACAGAACCAGUGAAAAUGAGAAUUACUAAGUUAAACCUCCAGCUUGCCAAAAGCACAACUUCCAUGGGGUAACUGUGUAAGAAGGGGGGUAGAGGUGUGAGGCAAAGAAGUUACCAGUUCCAAAUUACCUUCAGAUAUAACACUACAGUUAAUACUCACAAAGUUUAGGCUUUAUUUUCAAGCUGUCUAUAUUUCUGAAAGCAAAAGUGAAGGCAGAGCACAAGUAUGGGGAACGUGGAAGGUCUAUACAGUCUUGCUCUAAUUUUCUUGCCACCGAAUGAGAAUUCAGGUGCCUGGAUGAGGGAGAGUCCUGUGGUAAUUCUUCAGUGCUUGCUGCCCUGAGCCCUGUAACCCUUGUGAAUGCAGAGGUCUCCCAUCAUUCCCUCAGCUGCCUCUGGACUUCUGUCCACUUUCCUGUCUCAGAUCUGCUCUGAGUCCUUUCAGCCCAACCUCUUGCCUCCCAUCACUCAACUCUUCCCAUCUCAAAACCUUCCCUGUCCUCUGCCCAUCUGUUCCCAAAUCCCAUCCUGACUUAACAACCCAGGUUCAUGCUCCCUGACACUUCUCUACUACCUUUUCCUACUCAUGGCUAUCUCUACGAGGCACAGCUUUUGGCAUGCAGGCUGUUGUGCUCCUCUACCCCUGUAGUGCCUGCAGCCUGUGGAGGCAGCUGCUGCCACACCAAGCCACCACUGCUGCAGGCAUCUGCCUGUACCCUUCAGCUUGUCUUCACCCACGUCCUCCCAGCAGUGGUUGUGGCUUUUAUUCUGGCAGGGAUUUAAAAAUCCUGCAGAGAAGUUACAUUUAUAAAAUACUGACCUAGAUGCACUUCAGAGGAAAAGUUCAGGAAAAAGAUUGGAAAAGAGAGGUUUCCUUGCAGGAGCACUCGCUCCUCUACCAGCCGUAGAGAUUUUCUGGGAGAAUCGUUGAGGGUUAAAUAAAUCUUAAAAUGGUUGGAAAAUGUUUUUAGGAGAUCUUGGCUUUGCCUCAAGAUCCUAAUAUAGCAUUAAGGAGAAUUACAUAAUUUAAAGACGGCAAAGGCCAAGCAGAUGACCCAGUGCAACCUCUCAGCAGUACAAUCUUGCACUGUUUAGCAUAUUUUGUGGUGUCUUUGUCCAGUCUAGAUCCGAUUUACAAGAGAUGAGGCUUCCUGUACUCCUUUGACAGUUUACAUGAUAUUAACCUUAAGAAGUUUGCAACAUAAGAAGUCUGAUACCUGUGACUGUCAUUCAGACUACAGAAACUUCCAUUUUACACCAUACUAAUUUCAGUUAUGUACAAAAGCUGAAACAUACUGUUAUAGUUCAGCAGCAACAUAAAUAAAAGCAAAAAUGGGCUACUCAGUCAUUUUCUCUUUACUAAUCAUUCACAGGGAAAAAGAAUUCUGACUAAGCAAGAUCUCUCUCUUCCUAUAAUUGUCAGUGCACCUCACCUGUUUUCAACACUUACCUCUGCUCUUCUGGCUGAGGGUGUCUUUUUUUUUUUUCUUCCUUUCAUUUCUCUUUUUAAUUUUGACCUUUUCAGUCAUUUCUCAAUACCUUUUCUCAGUUGCUUUGGGGGAUUUUAUGAAAUACUUCAGAUCAUUCUGCAAAGCUGUAGGAUGCCUGAAGUUCACAGUAACUCUUACUGAUUUACUAUAGUGUGUGAAGGAACCACUGUUCCACCGAAAUCAAAAAGGAUUUUGAUACAGAUUUUUCUGGGGUUCAAAUGCCACCUUGUUUCUGCUGUUUUUCAGGUUUAUUUUCCACUUCCAAUAAAACUUUGAAAUCACUAAUUCUGAUAAGAGUGAUUUGAUACCAAAUAUUACAGCAGCAAAUAAGAUGUGUCAGAUUGACUUUUAACACUUGUGUCAAGCAGGAUUUUGUUCUAGUAGGCCACACACAGUACUACAGAUUUGUGUGCUUAGUUGUGCAGAUAAGAAAAUCACAUUGACUUGAGCAAGACUACAUGGAGGCACAAAUUCAUUAAGGAUGACUGUGUGAUGAAGGAUGUCAUUGUCCGCAUGACACAAUGGGAACAGCUUGGCUUGCGUUAGUGCUGAAAAACUUCAGAACUUCAGGAUUUGAGUUUUCUGCAUGAAUUGUAACAAGGCCAUUCCACCAGUUACGUUGCUCUGUGCAAUGAAAAAAGAUGAGAACUGUACUAGAAUUGGCAUUGAAAUAAAGAGAUAGUAUAAGUGCUUUUGCUCUCAAGCGCUUGGGGUGCCAUUUGAGUUGUCAAGUCUUCUUAUACUGAGUAACAUCCACACCUGUCACGUGUUGUUGAAAGACACUUCUAAUUCUUCGCCAAUAUAUUUUUGGACAGAGAAAAGCAUUUCUUGUUAUGAUAGUGAAUGACAAGCUUUACAAUUUCAUUUGUGGGGUAGUAUCUGCAGAGAAUUUAAGUUGAAAUGAGAAAGACCUGGCCUCUGCUUGGACAUGUAUGUACAAUGGAUGUAACAUUACCUGUCAUACAACAGGCUGGGACUACUCUUCAGAAUUUUUCUUUGUAACUGUGUGGCCUAGAUAUAUUUGAAAUAAAUCUGGGUAAAAUGUUUGCUAUUAUGUAAUGGGUAUUCUGGCUCAGAUACCUAUACAAAACACAAUUUUUGCUUUGUUGUAAUUUGAUGUGCUCAUUUUGAAAAGGCAUUGGCUUUCCCCAUUGGGUUGAAAUAUUCAUAAGGAAAAAAAAUAUUUUGCAAAACUUGCAUUUUUCCAUGAACCUAACAAAGUGAAAACUUAGUAAAUGGCUCAAGUUAUAAACUAUUAAUCAAGCUGAUAAUUUGACAUUAUAUUGUUAUAAAAACAAUGUUUUUGAGUCACCUUAAGUGACUCAGUCCUCCUGGAAUAAAGCACUGAACUUCCAAGAGAUGAUAGUCUUUCUGGUAAUCUGAAUGCUGAACAAGAUAAUUGUGAUUAAUGGCUAUCAUAAUUAAUGUAGAAUAAAUUAGUAAUUGCUUUCAACUUUGCAGUAAAAUGCUGAAGAUAACACGUAUCUUCUGUGAUGUACUUACUCUACAUCUACAAGACAUUAAUGUUUUAAUGCAUACUAUUAAAUGAUGUGAAACUGCUAUUAUUCAUUUGCUUUGGAAAAAAAUAUUUUGUAUCUUACUCUUGAUCAGGUAGUAAAAUCUCAUUAAAUUAGAGAUAUUUACAGGGGAAGUAUGUAGGAUAUGUC
Long non-coding RNA from Falco peregrinus (peregrine falcon), 5184 nucleotides. RefSeq lists it as uncharacterized. The record is from RefSeq and is a predicted model, not a curated record. The transcript is spliced from 2 exons. NCBI's taxonomy places the organism in Eukaryota, Metazoa, Chordata, Aves, Falconiformes, Falconidae.